Molecule: ribosomal RNA, 1035 nt
Filed under: Triticum aestivum (bread wheat)
Lineage: Eukaryota; Viridiplantae; Streptophyta; Magnoliopsida; Poales; Poaceae
Description: partial small subunit ribosomal RNA
Source: RNAcentral
AUGAACUGCCUACUACGGAACUCGCGCCGCCUCCUCCUUGUGUGUAAGCAGGCAGGCGGCGUCCGCCGACUGGCUUCGCUGCUGCCGACCCAUGCAAACCCGGUGUUCCGCUUCAGUCAGUGGUACCGUAAUCCGCGUACGGUCGCUGCAGUGGCGGCCCUCGCCUCAGGUGCCGGGGCUAUGGCCGCGCUGGGCCUCUACGACCGCGAGGUUGUGCCUUACACGAACCGCACGCACAUGGUCAUCAGGUCUCCCCAGUCCGAACGCCAGCUCUGGGAGUCCCGUUACACAAAGGACAAGAAAAUCUGGGCUUCCGAAUCACGGAUCGUCGAUCCGCUUCACCCAGACAGCAUUCGUGUACGUCGUAUCGCCGAGAAAGUUAUUGGCGCCACCUAUCGUACCCUCCCUAUCAACAGCAGCCACGAUGGCACCAAGAGACCGAAGCCACAGACAAGUCAUCUUGAGGGGUUUGAGUGGGAGGUGAUACUUGUUAAAGACGACGACCCCACUGCAGCGUGCGCUCCUGGUGGCAAGAUUGCAGUAUUUACCGGAUUGCUCGACCGUUUUACCGAUGCUGAGAUUGCCUUUGCUAUUGCGCAUGAGAUUGGUCACAUCGUUGCCAGACACUACUCGGAAAUUUGUUACGCCAAGUGGUCUCCAAUACCCAUGUUUGUGCCUUUCUUCCGAAGGUCGGAGAUGGAGGCAGAUCACAUUGGAACCCUUCUACUUGGAGCUGCUGGUUUCCAUCCAUACGCGUCCCUCUUGUACUUCCGGAAGCAGGCAAUAAUUGAAAGAGAGUCGGUGUCACAAGAUCACAUCCUUUUUAAUCCUUCAGAUACAACAAGGGCAGAGCGUGUGAUGCAACCCAAAAUCAUGCAGGAGGCACUGAAACUAUAUAAGGAAGCUCCGCCCGACGAAGGUACCAGCUCAGAAGCCCCCGCUGAAGGAUUUUCCUUUCGACAAACCCUGGGAGAUGCAUUCCAACUUAUAUCGACAAGACUGAGGCACGCUCUUACGGGGGGAUCAGCAGAUUAG